RNAcentral lists this long non-coding RNA (1164 nucleotides) under Varanus komodoensis (Komodo dragon). RNAcentral's name for it is "lncRNA (ENSVKKG00000016207.1)". Lineage: Eukaryota; Metazoa; Chordata; Lepidosauria; Squamata; Varanidae. The record is from RNAcentral.
GGGUGAUGGGCUGGAUGAGGGCCAAUAAAUUGAAGCUUAAUCCAGGCAACCGUCCUGCUGGUAGGCAGUUUAGCCUCCCAGGUAGGUGUUUCUAACCCUGUUCUGGAUGGGGUUGCACUCCCCCUAAAGGACAGGGUGCACAGUUUGGGAGUGCUCCUUGACCUGGAGCUAUGGGAGAGGUCAUCAGGAGGUGUGGGCUGCGGAAUCAUCAAUACGCUGAUGAUACCCAGCUUUACCUCUCGUUUUCCACUAAUCCAGGUGAGGCAGUGGCUGUGCUGAACCGGUGCUUGGCCGAGGUAAGGGAAUGGAUGAGGGCCAAUAAACUGAAACUCAACCCAGACAAGACGGAGGUCCUGUUGGUUGGCGGAUCGGGUUUCGGAGAGGGUGGAUUUGACCUGGUCCUGAAUGGUGCAACACUCCCUCUUAGGGAUAAGGUCCGCAGCUUAGGAGUACUCCUCGACCCGGAGCUUUCUUUGGAAGCUCAGGUGACAGCGGUGGUGAGGAACGCCUUCCUUCAGCUUCGGCUGAUUAAUCAGCUACGCCCCUACCUGGAGUACGACUGCCUGGCGACGGUGACACACGUGCUGGUGACUUUCCGCCUAGACUUCUGUAACGCGCUUUACGUGGGGCUUCCCCUGAAGACAGUCCGAACACUUCAAUUGGUGCAAAAUAGAGCUGCCAGGUUGCUGACGGGGACGGGGCAUUAUGCUCACAUGACUCCAGUCCUCCGUCAGCUUCACUGGCUUCCCAUUGAAGCCCGGGCCCAAUUCAAGGUGUUGGUUAUGACCUAUAAAGCCCUAAACGGCUUGGGUCCUGGCUACCUGAACGAGCGCUUAUGUCCGUAUAUGCCCGACCGCCCUUUGAGAUCUGCGGGAGAGUCCCUUCUCCGGGAACCCUCCAUGAAAGAAAUUAGGAGAGUAAGUACUCGGAGGAGGGCUUUCUCUGCGGUGGCACCCAACCUAUGGAAUUCACUCCCCAAAGAGGUCCGCCUGGCACCGUCGUUACUGGUUUUUCGGCGCCAGGUAAAGACCUUUUUAUUUAAACAUCAUUUUAAUUGUUAAAACAUAUGAUCUGGCCAGGGCAACUUCUUCUUCCUUCUCUUUCUCCUCCUAUAUUUUUAUUUACUUAUUUUAUACUGAUAAUUUUAAUUUUAUAUUUGUAAAU